Molecule: ribosomal RNA, 253 nt
Filed under: uncultured bacterium
Lineage: Bacteria
Description: partial 16S ribosomal RNA
Rfam family: Bacterial small subunit ribosomal RNA
Source: RNAcentral
UACGUAGGGGGCAAGCGUUGUCCGGAAUUAUUGGGCGUAAAGAGCGCGUAGGCGGUCCGAUAAGUCGGCUGUGAAAGUCCAGGGCUCAACCCUGGAAAGCCGGCCGAUACUGUCGGACUAGAGUCCGGAAGAGGCAAGUGGAAUUCCCGGUGUAGAGGUGAAAUUCGUAGAUAUCGGGAGGAACACCGGUGGCGAAGGCGGCGACCUGGGUAGAUACUGACGCUGAGGCGCGAAAGCGUGGGGAGCAAACAGG